Molecule: ribosomal RNA, 254 nt
Filed under: uncultured bacterium
Lineage: Bacteria
Description: partial 16S ribosomal RNA
Rfam family: Bacterial small subunit ribosomal RNA
Source: RNAcentral
UACGGGGGGGGGCAAGCGUUGUUCGGAAUUACUGGGCGUAAAGGGUUCGUAGGUGGCCAACUAAGUCAGACGUGAAAUCCCUCAGCUCAACUGGGGAACUGCGUCUGAGACUGGAUGGCUUGAGUGCAGGAGAGGAACGCGGAAUUCCAGGUGUAGCGGUGAAAUUCGUAGAUAUUCGCAAGAACACCAGUGGCGAAGGCGGCUCACUGGCCCAUAACUGACGCUGAGGCACGAAAGCGUGGGGAGCAAACAGG